This 292-nucleotide ribosomal RNA is filed under the name uncultured microorganism. Its description in RNAcentral is "partial 16S ribosomal RNA". It matches the Rfam family "Bacterial small subunit ribosomal RNA", at positions 505 to 796 of the family's 1533-position model. The record is from RNAcentral.
GUGCCAGCAGCCGCGGUAAUACGUAGGGUGCGAGCGUUGUCCGGAUUUAUUGGGCGUAAAGGGCUCGUAGGCGGUGUGUCGCGUCGGCCGUGAAAUCCUGCCGCUUAACGGUGGGCGUGCGGUCGAUACGGGCACACUUGAGUUCGGUAGGGGAGACUGGAAUUCCUGGUGUAGCGGUGAAAUGCGCAGAUAUCAGGAGGAACACCGGUGGCGAAGGCGGGUCUCUGGGCCGAUACUGACGCUGAGGAGCGAAAGCGUGGGGAGCGAACAGGAUUAGAUACCCUGGUAGUCC